This 253-nucleotide ribosomal RNA is filed under the name uncultured bacterium. Its description in RNAcentral is "partial 16S ribosomal RNA". It matches the Rfam family "Bacterial small subunit ribosomal RNA", at positions 524 to 776 of the family's 1533-position model. The record is from RNAcentral.
GACGUAGGGCGCGAGCGUUGUCCGGAUUUAUUGGGCGUAAAGCGCGUGUAGGCGGCUCGGUAAGUCUGCUGUGAAAGUCCAGGGCUCAACCCUGGGGUGCCGGUGGAUACUGUCGAGCUCGAGUCCGGAAGAGGCGAGUGGAAUUCCUGGUGUAGCGGUGAAAUGCGCAGAUAUCAGGAGGAACACCAAUGGCGAAGGCAGCUCGCUGGGACGUGACUGACGCUGAGACGCGAAAGCGUGGGGAGCAAACAGG